GCCGGGCGUGGUGGCGGGCGCCUGUAGUCCCAGCUACCAGAGAGGCUGAGGCAGGAGGAUCCCUUGAGCCCAGGAGGUCAAGGCUGCAUUGAGCCAUGUUCAUGCCACUGCACUCUAGCCUAGGCAACAGAGUGAGACCCUGUCUCAA
RNAcentral lists this non-coding RNA (148 nucleotides) under Nomascus leucogenys (northern white-cheeked gibbon). The record is from Rfam by way of RNAcentral. Lineage: Eukaryota; Metazoa; Chordata; Mammalia; Primates; Hylobatidae.